GACGAGCGCUGGCGGCGUGCUUAACACAUGCAAGUCGAACGAUGAAGCCGGAGCUUGCUCUGGUGAAUUAGUGGCGAACGGGUGAGUAACACGUGAGUAACCUGCCCUUGACUCUGGGAUAACUGCGGGAAACUGUAGCUAAUACCGGAUACGACCCUCGGAGGCAUCUCCUGGGGGUGGAAAGAAUUUCGGUCAAGGAUGGACUCGCGGCCUAUCAGCUAGUUUGUGAGGUAAAGGCUCACUAAGGCGGCGACGGGUAGCCGGCCUGAGAGGGUGACAGGCGACACUGGAACUGAGACACGGCCCAGACUCCUACGGGAGGCAGCCGUGGGGAAUAUUGGACAAUGGGCGCAAGCCUGAUCCAGCCAUGCCGCGUGAGUGAUGAAGGCCUUAGGGCUGUAAGGCUCUUUCAGUGGGGACGAUAAUGACGGUACCCGCAGAAAAAGCACCGGCUAACUACGUGCCAGCCGCCGCCGUAA
This 479-nucleotide ribosomal RNA is filed under the name uncultured bacterium. RNAcentral describes it as "partial 16S ribosomal RNA". It matches the Rfam family "Bacterial small subunit ribosomal RNA", at positions 28 to 523 of the family's 1533-position model. The record is from RNAcentral.